Long non-coding RNA from Leopardus geoffroyi (Geoffroy's cat), 6922 nucleotides. RefSeq lists it as uncharacterized. The transcript has 2 exons. NCBI's taxonomy places the organism in Eukaryota, Metazoa, Chordata, Mammalia, Carnivora, Felidae. The record is from RefSeq and is a predicted model, not a curated record.
ACUGUGCCAGCCCUUUAUAAAUAAUAUUUCUUAUUUAACCCAUUCAAUGUAACUGCAUUGAGCUACUUACUAUUUCCCUGUUUCACAGAAGGGGAAACUGAGAGGUAGAGUGUAAGUAAUGUAUCUGUUGGUUACAUAUCUAGUGAAUGAUGGGGCCAGGGUUUACACCCAGGUAGUCUGACUUCACUGUUUGUCCUUUCAACACUGUACUGUAUUACCUCUUAAGACAAUUUACUGGAGUCUGGAAGGAUUCAAAAACAGAUCUGUUAUGUCAUUUGUAACUAGAUAUUCUGGUUAUGACCCUGUUCUAUCCACAUAGUAACCUAGAAAAAAGGAUGACUCAUGCUAACUUAUGCCCUCGUACCAGAUCACGGUUGUCAUCUUGGUGCCUCUCACCCAAACGUAAUAUACCGUGCCUGGAAGUUUACCUUUCUCAAAACUCAGACUCAAGGAGAGUAACUACAGCAAACAGUAGAGUCUCCUAACCCAUCUACCCAAUGCCCAGCUUCUUUGUUUCCUGGCUGACAGCUAACUCAGGUAAAUGAUACUGACAGUGACUUCCUUAUUCAUGCAUAAGAACAGCAGCCUAAAAAGGCAUAACUUUAGCCUUAGGAGUUCAACAGCAAAAAUACAGCAGAAUAUAAUACAAUUGCAGCAUCCCUAAAGAAAGGUACAUGUAUGUAAUACACAGAUAGUGAUUUGUUUUGCCUGUUCAUACUUGAUGAUUAAUUUUUGUUAGUAAAAUCUUAAUGAUCAGUAUUUCCAAAAUCAGUCUUUCCUGUAGUGGUAACCAUUUCUGUAAAUCAUUUAGAAAAUAAGAGUGGUUAUCAAUUUAUUAUUUGCUUAUUAUUUAUAUUUUACAAAGCUUUGGAAAUGCAAAAUUCUGUAAAACUUUUUGUUAUCUUACGUUUGUAUAAAAAGUCCUAAAAUGUAUGUCUUUGUUAAAGUGUUAAUCAAAUUUUUCAUGGUACCUUAUGAAUAAAAUAUGGUCCAGAUGCUAGCAUUGUUUGGUAGAUUUUGAAACUACAUGAUCAACCUUUUCUAAAGAUUAUUAGUUCUAUUUCAUUAUGAUUCUCUUUCAUUGUGAAAGAUAGAUUUCUAGCUGGAUCCUGUCCAUGUUCCCUAUUAUUACUAAUUUUCAUACAGAAGGAAUGAUUACAUGAAACUGUGAGGGGGAAAUAAUAACUAGAGGUUAAAAUAUAAAGAGUCAAAAGUGUAGUGACUUAAUGAGUGCUGUGCCAAAACAGAUAGAAAUCAAAGCUCCAUUUAAUGAGCACCAGUUCCAGACACUAUAGAUAUUUUUCAGGUUGUAUUUGUUAACCUAGGGAGGAUUGUACCUCUUUUUAAUCUCUCGGAUUCUAGGUUAGCCGUUUUUUGGGUAAUGAAUGAUUUUCUUUUUUUUUUUUUUAAUUUUUAUUUAUUUUUGAGACAGAGAGAGACAGAGCAUGAACGGGGGAGGGUCAGAGAGAGGGAGACACAGAAUCCGAAACAGCCUCCAGGCUCUGAGCGUUUAGCACAGAGCCCAAGCGGGGCUCGAACUCACGGACAGCGAGAUCAUGACCUGAGCCGAAGUCGGACGCUUAACCGACUGAGCCACCCAGGCGCCCCUGAGUGAUUUUCUUUUUUAGCAAAAACUAAUUUUUGAAGUCAAUUGAUCAAUGAAAAUAAUGAUCAUUAGUCCAAGUAUUGUUUUCAUUAGUUCUCUUUUACAUGAGUCCCAGUGAUUCCUUCUUUAAAGUGUUCUAACCCAACUUAAAUGGAUUCAUAAUCAUUAUAUUCUAAAUCACUAAAUCCUUAAAUUCUAUAAUUUUAAAUCUGCUCAAGCUCCCUUAUUUUUCAAGAAGAGAGAUUGAGCCUCAAAGAAGUUAAGUUGCAUAUCCAAAGUCAUGUCCCAUAGUAAUGACCUAGUCAGGACCAGAAUCCAGGUCUCUUGAACUCUUGUUUUACCUAUAGCGUGUCUUCACUCUCAUGCUUUCUGGCCUCUUUUUCUUGUGCUAUUUUCCGAAUUCUUUUAUGUUUACAUUGAAAAAUAAAUUCUCAGAGGCCCAUUUGGAGUUUGCCACGUGAAUACGAAGGUAUGCACCAACUUAAUGAAGUACAAUUUUAAGUUACAAAAUUAUUCUAAUUCAUGAUGAAACUCAAAUUAGUACUGAUAGUUCUACAUUAUAUUCCCCAAUAUUCAAUCUCAAAUGUGUGGCUGUUACUUCUGUAGAAGUUCAUCUUUAUAUUUAAUCCCUCAUGUGGCUUUUAGAAGACUAGAAGCUCAUCUUGAAAGAGAAGAUGAAAGACGAGUCAAGUGUGCAGGAUGACUAAAAUCUGAAGAGUAUGGCAUAGUGUGUAUUGGGUUUUCAUUUUGUUUCCGAAUGUAUUUUCUGUCAAACUUCAUAAUAAAAUCUCAGCAAAGUCUGUUUGCCUUUUCUCUGUCAGUAUUUCCUGUGUAUGCAUUUCUUUCUCCAUAGAACUGUCUUUUCCUUACAUUGGAAGAAUGUAAAAUGAUCUUCUAGAAGUUACUUCCUGUUUGGUUCAUAACAUAAAAUCAGUCCAAGCUCAAGUUAAAUUAGUGAAAUAAUUUCAAACGUCAUCUUUUUGAUGAAUAGGCCCAUGUUUAAUUUGCACUCUUUUUCUCUUUAUUUCAUUUUUGAGAAAAUUCUGCUGCUUUCUGUAGAAGUAAAAUUCCAGUGACAGUUUGUUUAUUCAUUUAUUUACUCAUUCAUCACCAUGUUCAUUGACCAAACAUUAAGUGCUAUACACAUACACAGACACAGUAUUUUGCAAGAUAGAUUUUAUUUCCAGACUCAUGGAAUUUAGAUUUCAACAUGGGAGAUAGACAUUGAUAUUAUUAGGUCUGUUGGCUAUUAAAAUAAUGUGUGAUAAGUGGUGAGAAUUUCUAUUUCUUGGUCCUCCUUUUCCCUUGGCUUCUUUGCCAUAUCCUAUAAGUUGAGUUUUAGUUUCUUUAUUGUUACAGGUUUUUUUUAUUUAAUAUGCAUACAUUUCAACAUUUUGCUUGAAAAGAGUGGUUUCCACUCGUAGGAGAGCAGAGACUCAGGUUUAUAGCCUGCCAAGACACAGCUCUGAUACCAGUUUUCUUCAGAUUGAAGAAACUUUAUUGUCAUUCCUAUCAUUUCUUCUGUGGACAAAAGUAUAGAAAAAGAGAUCUGGUUUAUACUCUCCAGUGACAAAAGAUUUCAAAGCAAGGAAGAUAUUGGGUAUAAAGAGCAAGAGUUGAAGAAUGCACAGUUGAACAUGAGAGGAACAGACAACUUGUCUUCCAAGAACUCAUUCAAAUUAUGUCUUCAGUUUGAAAGCUGCGAUGGAAGUUCAGUAACUUCAAAGCAUGCAUGGAAGUUUCUAUAUACACGCAGUGAAAUCAGCUGACAAGGUAACUGGGUUGGCAAGUGCUUCUGAGACUCCUGAGAAGUAAAAAUGUGAUCAUCAAAAAAUCCUGGAUAGUCUGUGACUGCUUCAUCCACAGAAUGAUCCCAGGGUACAGAGUGUUGGCCAGGUGGCCUGACUAGAGGUUCUCCGGAUUGGAUCUGCUGCUUGUGGACCUGCCAUCAAGGAGGUUGACUAAACAGACCUGAAAACAAGUAUAUUUCCCAGAAGUCACAAAAAUUCAAAGAUAAAAACAUUUGGCCUAAAUUUCAACAUUAGACCUUAGGUUUGGGACUUCGCCUUCCACAACUGUAAAACUAGUCAGACUGGAUGAUGAGCUCUUCUUUCUAGGCAUUGAGCAAUAGGCAGUGUAGGGCUGCCAUCCUUGAAAGAAGGGGAAGUAUAAAGCGAGCCCCACAACCUCUCCAGGUUUCUGCCGUGGAACACUUUCCUGUUGCAGUGCAGGGUGGGUAGAAUUCAGGCGAAGGUGCAGUCCCAUCCAGCUAGGGAGGCAGAGGUUAGAGUUCUGGGCUGCUAACAUGGCUGCAGUGUGUGAGUUAGUGUGCUAGAGAGGAAGGAACUGCACAGAGGGAGACUCCUAGAAGUCUGUGUGCAGGUUCGCCUCCAGUUCAGCUCCAGGCUAACACUGUACCUGAGCUAGACCGUACAUCACAAGGCCUAGCACCAGCCACCUGCUCUAAGGCUGAGAGCUGACAGGGAUACCAGCAGUCACCCAGUUCUGGGAGUUGUUGACAUUAGACCCUGCUGAGCACCUUGGUGAUUCUCUUGAUAUCCCAGCGAGGCCCUCCGUAAGAGUAAGGAUCACUUCUUAGCAUAAAAGCCAUAUCCUAGAACUAAGUUCAAAGUGAAAUAGACCUGCUCUAACAAAGAAUAAAGUGAAGCCUGAUCAAACCAAAGGAUUCUCCAGUAGUUUAAUGGCAACGUGUAGAGCAAAGCUCACCACCUGUGAAGAUGGAUGACACAAUACAGACUCCCUUCAACAUAUUAUCCACUCUGUCCAGCAUUCAAUCAAUGAGAAGUUCCUGGGCAUGUAAAAUAAAGAGUCAAAGUCAAAAGUAGGAAAAUGUGACCCAUAAUAAAGAAGUUGGGGCAUCUGGGUGGCUCUGUUAGUUGCACACCCGACUCUUGAUUUUGGCUCAGGUGAUGAUCUCAUGUUUCAUGCAUUCAAGCCCUACAAGACCUCCGCUCUGACAGCAUGGAGCCUUUGGAUUCUCUCUUGCCCUCUCUGUCUCUGUCCCUCCCCUGCUGUCUCAAAAACGGAAAGAAAGAAAGAGAGAGAGAGAGAAAGAAAGGAAGGAAGAAAGAAAGCAAAGAAGAAAUUAGAAACAGACUUCAAGAUGAACUAGAUGCACAAAUUAGCAGCUAUGGAUUUUUAAAGCAGCUGCUAAAGUAUGUUUUAAUAUUGAGAAGAAAAAAAAUGUCCAUAAAGAGUGAACAGAGAGAAUAUCAGCAGAGAAAAUAACAACUUUAUAAUGAAUAAAACGAAGUCUAGUACUGAAAAGUUCGAUAUCUGAUACAUAAAAUUACCUGGAUGAGUUCAGUAUCACUGGAUAGAGACUGUAGAAGAAAGGGCUAUGGAACCCGACGACAAAUACAAACACAGUGUGCAAUGCUGAAGAUUUAAAUCCCCUUCCCCCUCCUUUUGCUCUUCCCCUUGCCAAAAGAUAGACAAGUUACAUUAAAAGGUAGGCGAUAAUCUGGCUUUAGAUUUCUUAGCUAUGUAGCUACAUGCAAAGCUGUAAGAAAAUGGAGCAACUUGAGUUUUGAGGAGGUAGAGUUGUGAAUUGGGAUUUUCUCUGAUUCAUGUUUUUUUAAACAAGUUUGUAAAAGAUUAUGUUUAUAUGCCUUUCUUUUAAACUUAAAAAAAAAAAGCUGCUACUUAAAGACAUACUUUAGAAGACCUUGGGAUGUGGGGACAGUUGUACUAGAAAUGAUUGUCCUUUAUGGAACUCUCUUCUAAGGAAAUAAUCAAAAUGUGUGCAAAUAUUUUCGUACAUUUUUCGUUGCCAUAUGUAUUGGAAAAUACCUUAUUGUUGAGUAAGUGUUCAUAUAAGUAAAUAUGCAACCAUUAAAAUAUACUAACAACUGAUGUAAGGAAAUGCUUUUUUUAAUAGUGAGGAAAAAAGCAAGAUACAGAUUUGUAUACUAAAUAAAAAUUUAUAUUAAGUGGCAGGAAAUACGGAAAAUUUUGUCUCUUGAUUAUGGGAAUUCAUGAUGGCCUUAUUUUUCUGUUUGUAUAUUUCCAAAAUUUCUGUAAAGAGCACAUAAUUCAAACCUUAAAAAAUUAGAUCUGUGUGUAUACGGGGACAGUUAGAAGAGAUUAAUCUGAUAAUGCCUGUGAAUCUAUUAAUUGAGACUUUUUCAUCUAAAAAUUCUAAUUAUAAACAUGGAAGAAAGAAUGUAGCCUUUAAAAUAUUUUGGGAAGGUGCUCACUUUAGCACCACAUGUUACUAAAAUUGGAGUGACACAGAGAAGAUCAGCACGGCCCCUGCACAGGGAUGACACACAAAUUUGUGAAGCUUCCAUGUUUUAAAAAAUAAUAAUAGAAUAUUUUGGGGAAAGAUAAAAAAACAUUGUCCCAAGUGAAAGAUGACUUACACGAGAGUUUAUGCCAUGAUAUCAUGCAUAUGAAAUUCUAGAAUAGGCAAAACUGAUCAGUGGUGGGGAAAACACAUCAGAGCAAUGGUUAUUUCUAGGGACAAGGACAGGAAUUGAUUGGGAAGAAUAUGCACGGUCUUUCUUGGAUCAUGAUGAAUUUCUAUAUCUUGUUAAGGAUUUGAGUUGUGUAGGUGUGUACAUUGUCAAAACUCAAUAUAUAUUUAAGAUCUAUUCAUUUGUAUGUAAAUUUUACAUAAAAAGAAAAAUACUGCCAACAAAAAGGUGGGGAACAAAUAGUUUUGUGAAAAUGUACAAAGUCUACUCCUGCUGGCUUUAUCCUCAUAUCCUAUGGUCUUAGAUAAGUAUUCCAGAGUAAUAAGAUAGUUAUAAAUUCAAUGUACUCUAGUUAGCACCUUGUGCUUGCUUCUCUUAAUACUUGCUACAUUGCACUGGACUUAUUUCAUGCCUCGAAUGGACUGUGAACUCUUGGAGGGCAGGAAAUCCCUGCCUUCUGGCACAUAGCUGGCGUGUGCCCAAUAAAUAUUUAAUAGGUUAAUAAGUAAGUAUCCCUCAGCCCUUGUUCCCACCUCUUACCUGUAACAAAAAUGUUUCUCUAUUCAUUACAAUUAUUAGUUCUGUAUCUUUUUUUUUAUAAUAUUAAUUGGUAAGUGGAAUUAACAAAAUAGCAAAGUUAAUCUUUUAACAUUUGUUAUUUCAAGUUGUUUGUUCAAGGGGCUUGCUUAAAAUUGUAUCAAAAUGUUACAGUAGUGUGGCUUAAAUAUCUAUCUUUGAAAACUAUGAUUGAGUUUGUGGUCAGGUUGUGGGUCUCCAGUUGCAAAGUGUUUUAGGAGGAAAUAUUAGACACUAUAAUUAAAUCAUUUUGUGACAUUUAUAGUAAAGUUACUACAGUAAAAAAAAAAAAAAAAAAAAA